Molecule: long non-coding RNA, 7113 nt
Filed under: Sus scrofa (pig)
Lineage: Eukaryota; Metazoa; Chordata; Mammalia; Artiodactyla; Suidae
Description: lncRNA (ENSSSCG00000059586.1)
Source: RNAcentral
GGGGAAGUGAGAGAAGACACUAGACCCCUCCUCGUUUAUUCGCUGUCUUUUUAGAAGAUGCCGCACAUGGCCACACUGCAAGGUGGGCACUAUUGUGCACCCCUAGUAAAGCUGGAAGAGAGAUUAGAUACCAGCUGGCAAACAGUAGUUUGUGCCAUAGUCUCCAUACCCUGAAUCUUGAGGGGUUUAGGUGGUGGUCACUGAGAUCAUGCACCCUUGGGAAAAACCAGAGGCUAAGGGAUCCCGUUGAAGCCCCACUCUGCAACACUGGGAACAAAUUGGAGCAUGCCGUCCCCAACCUGGACUGAGGAAUUACUCGAGAGGGUCCCAGAAGAAUUGAGGGAGCUGCUUGUGCCCACUCACAGGAACCUACUCCAGCGUGAGGUGUGACGUGUGAGGGCGUGUUUGCAUCACUUCCGGUUUCCUCCAUUCUUGUUCUCUCAUGACUGUGUUUCCUGAGUGGAUUCUGCUCCCUCGUGGCUUCUACAUUAUUUAAUCUCUUUUUAAUUUGGGGGAUCAUCAGAGUGGUGAUGUAGUUACAUAGUUCACUUUUUUUUGGGUCUCUUCAUUUCUGUUGGUUGUCCUCAGGUGACCCGAAUUUAGUGCUUCUGAGCCUCCCAACUAUCUUAGACUGCCCCCUGGUGGAUGCCUGUCAGAGCCAUUCUUCUGGUCUGAACAUGGAGAUGGCCUUUCCCCCCUGUCCUGGAUGCAAAAGUAAGAAUUCCCCAUGUGAAACUCAGCCGCCAGGAGCACUUCUAACUUUUAGAAUAUGACCUUGUAAAUGCCCAUGUAAAGACAGCUUUUCUUGACCUCUGAAAUAAUUGUUUCCUAAAUUUCGAUAUAGGGCAGGCUUAGGAGUGUCAACCUUUUUAGGAGGAGACUCAGAUAUUCAUUGAGCCUCUAACUCUUCAUUUAAUAAUUAUUUCUCGAGUGCCUACUGUGUUCUAGGAACUGUCCAUUCACUGGGGAGCGUAGCAGGUAAGGGCUCUGCUCUCAGGAGCUUACUUUCUAAGAAGAAAAAUGAGGCGAUUUCAGAUAGAGGGAGAUGUUAUGAAGAAAGUUAAAGCAGUUGAUAAGUGGAAAGUACCGGGAGUUGGGUGGGCUGUUUUUGAUACGCAGCCAGGGGAGGCCUGUCUGAGAUGCUCACUGCUCACUUAAGCACCUGGACAUUCGGCCCCGCCCCCCUCAUUAGCCCAUCAACCUGCAGACACCUACAGGGGGAGCCUUCCUCGUAGGGGGACCAGCAAGGGUGAAUGUAGAAGAGAAUUGAAAUAUACACACAUGUUCAAGGACAGGUGCACUGCUUUCCCGGGGCUGCCGUAACAAAUCGCCAUAAACUGGGCACCUCCAAACAACAGAAAUGAGUCCUUCCCCUGUUCAGGAAGCAGGAGCCUGGUAUGAAGGUGUAAGCAAGGCAGUGCUUUCUUGAAGGCCCUAGCGGUGAAUCUGUCCCAUGCCUCUCUCUUAGCUUCCAGUGUUGCUGGCCAUUCUUGGCCUUCCUGGGCUCACAGAUGCAUCACUCCAGUCUUCUCCUCAGUCACCCACGGCGUUCUCACUACACCUCGGUCUGUGUCUCUGUGUCUUCUAUUUUCUUAUUAGGACACAAGUCAUAUUGGAUUUAGGAUCUACCCUAAUCCAGUAUGACCUCAUAUUUACUAAGUAUAUUUUCAAAACCCCUAUUUCCAAAUAAGGUCACAUUGAUAGGUACCUGGAGUUAGGAUUUGAGUGUUUUUUGGUGGGGGGGGGGGACGCUUUUGAGUUUCCCUGACACUUGGGAAUUGCCUGCAGCUUUCCCUCCAACCUUCUCUUUAGACUUUAUAGGGCGAGGCAUCCAUUCCUGUGCGUCAACCAUGAUCUCUGUUGGUAACUGUGACUCUUCUUCCCCGGGUACAAUCUGUGUGCAGUAAGUACCAUGGAGAGGGCCGAGUGAACUUGGCUCCAGCACCACAGACAGUUCCAAGACACUGUACCUACUAGAGAGCUGAAUGUUUGCAGGGCCAACUUAUCUGAUGUGAACAAAGGCAGAUCUAGGUUUUAUGGGGCCAGAAACAUGCAAUUUGGAGGGAGGUCCUCUUCAACAAAAAAUGCAAAAUUUUAAAUUCAAAACAAAUUUAAAAGGUGUACAAACGAUUUUUUUUAGCAUGAGAAAAAGUUGGCAACUCUCACACAUAGUACAAAACUCAGAAAAAUAACAGAAUAUUUCUAUUAAUUAGGAUACUUUUAACCUACUUUUUUGGCUGUAUAUUCCUUGACCCCAUCUUUAUUGGACACUUUUUAUAUCAUUUUCUAGAUGGAUAAUUCAAAUUAAUUCAGUCACAUGAUUAAUCAUAAUGUAUGUUUUAUUACUGAUAGUUUGGAAGAGAGGAAAGGUAAAGACAUAGAAGCAGAGAAAUUAUAGCAAAGACUUCUUCACUUUUUCCUGAAAAGCUUUCCAUGAGUCCAGAUAUGGUUAAUGCCUCUUUGCUGUUUUCUCAUAAAAUUCUGUGCAAAAGCCACACUGACUUUUGAGCACUUACCCAAGAAAUAUUAAUGGCAAAUGUAUUAAGUUCCAUGUGCUUUAGAUGCCAGGGACUAAAACUGUGAGUUAAGCAUAAGAAUUUUUUUCCUAUAAGGAAUACCUCUUACUCAAGAAAGCAGAAAAUACAUAGGCAAACAAAUACAUCCGUGGACUAUUACUGAUUUAUGCAGUUUGGGACAGAAACCAGGGGUUGGCUGGGAGGAGGGGGGUCUUUUAGGAAGCACCCCUUACCCCAGGCUCCAUAGGGGCAGGUGGCAGUGCUUGUAGGAACCACAGUGCCCUUCCCCCCAACCCAUGAGAGCCCAGGGCUCAUGCCAGCCUCCCAGGAGUUUGAGACCCAAAAUUCACGUGAUGGUGGCAGGACAGGCUGCUGACUCAAAAGGGGUUUGGUCACUUUGCAGUCCUUAUUGACCCAGUUAUUGGGACAGGUCUCAGCACCUUUAGGAACCACAGGCCUCUCUGACCAAAAUCCAGGCCUCACCCCAGCCUGCCUCAGGGUUCCAAAGCUGAGUCCAGGCUGCAGAAAGGGCUUGGCAGGAAGAACUGGUAGCAGGCUCGGAGAGCGGGCUCGGCUGGGAGUCUUGUCUCCCUUCAGGAUGGGUUGGGUCAGGCCCAGCAUUGGUAGGAACCAUGGAGAGUUCGCUUGUGAGUAAUGAGCCUGCAAGAGGAAGUGGGGGCACUGCCAGUUGUGAGAACCAGGCCCUGGAGACAGUGUGGAUAAGUGUGUAAAGGCCCUGCCUGGCAAAGGGCAAAGGGACCCAUCGUUCUCCAGUCCUUAUGUGCCCCAGGAAGGAACUUUGCUGGAAAGCAGUCCUUUCACUGGAGUGAAAAGGAUUCAGGGAAAGGGAGGCAUUGAUGAUGGCGUAGGUUCUAUCUUUCGGCAAGUUUAAGGAGACGCUGCUUUCCAGGGCCACUCAAGCCAUCAAAAUGCCAGACUCAGCCCUGAGUCCCAGCGCGUCUGCAUCCUCAGCUUUGACUGGACCACUCAGCACUCGCUGGAGCCUCCUCCCCGAGUAGAAGCACACUGAUGAGAAGUCUAACUGCUCUGUGGGUCUGCGUGAUGCCCAGGCUGCACUGGCCCCGCGGGCAGGCAGGAGACAUGGAAGUACGUAGAAGGCUGAAGACAGGCCUGCUGAGUGGUCCUGCCUUGUCAUUUGUUUGUAUCACCAGCAAAGAAAGACUGAAAACAGAUCUUGACACAACCAGUCAUUUAAACUGAAGCAGGUGAGACAGCAGCACAUAUAAAAAGGCUGGGAGCCUUGGCGUUCCCGUUGUGGCUCAGCGGAAACAAAUCUGACUAGGAACCAUGAGGUUGUGGGUUCGAUCCCUGGCCUCGCUCAGUGGGUUAAGGAUCUGGUGUUGCCACGGGCUGUGGUGUAGGUCGGAUCUCGUGUUGCUCUGGCUCUGGCGUAGGCUGGCAGCAACAGCUCUGAUUAGACCCCUAGCCUGGGAACCUCCAUAUGCCAUGGUGCAGCCCUAAAAAGACAAAAGACAAAAAACAAACAAACAAACAAACAAAAAAAACAAAACAAACCUGGUUGCCUAGAGCCAGUUCCUCUCCCAACCAAACUGUCUGUGGGCAGGGUCUCCCUUCUUGAUUUCCACGAGGCUGCACUGCCCUCUGUCGGUCACUUGGUUAUCAACGUGGGCCGCGCAGCACUCCCUCUGGAAAUCGCAGGAGCUCUCCCGAGCAGGGAGUUUUCUGCCAGCCAGGCUUGUUUCCACACAGUGACUCAUAAAAUGAGAUAAUGAGGGGCAAGAGCAAGUUAAAAUAUUUACUAUAAUUAACAUCGGGUGGAAAAACUUAUGUCUUAAAUCACUUGUGGAAAGACUGUGGCCUGGAGAGGGUUUUGCAGUGGGUAUAACCCCACCCCCCACCCCGGCGUUUCCUGUCGAUGAAGCAUACAGAAAAAAGUUUUUCUAAUUAUACAGGAAAUUUAUUUCUGAAGGUCACAUAAAUAUAAGAACCACAUGUUUAGGAAGUGACUAGGUGACUAAGAAUUUUCACACUCACUUACCAGCGUGAGUGUUCUCUUUUGUCCACUCCUUUCUUCCUCAGAUUUUAACGAGCUGUUUGCCAUGUCCUCCCUUCCCCUGCUUCGGGGAUCCAGAAAUGAAAGAGAGAAGGAUCCUGGUCUCAAGGACCUUGUUUGUAGGGAAGUUAAUACCUAGACUAAAAGGAGGCAAACAGGGAGAUGUGUCCAGAUGCUGUUGGUACCGCCCAGGGCUCCUGGGCCAGUCUGGCGGCUGCAGGUGUGGACCGCUAACAGGGUACUAGUGCCCCUUCUCCUGAGGCUUGCUGAGGGGUAGCGCUACCCCUGCUCCCCACUUCCCAUCUUGUGUCGCCUGUGGCCAGAGGGUGACUAAGGCAGGGGGGUCCCCCAGCCCAGCCCCCUGGCCUCUAUGGGGGGACAGUUCCUGUGGUGCAGUGUACACUCCAGAGCUCCCCGUGGGCUCAGGAGGAGGCUGAUCCUGCUGAAUUGACAUCUUUGCCUCUGCGGUUUCUCCCCAAGGCCCCCCCCUCCACAAGCUAUUUGCUCACGAAUCUCCACUGCAGGCUCUACUUCUAGACACAAACAUGUGCUAUCGAAGAGGCCGGGAAAGCUGAGCUCCAGUUUCAAGACCAGGGAAAAUGUGCCUUGAAGGUUAGUUUAGAUUUGAGCACAUUGGAGAGAUGCAUUCAUUCCCCACACACACUGACACGCAUUGAAAAGUGUCUUCUGUGAUCCGGGAUCUGUUCCAGGCCUCGGGGACACAGCAGUAAGUAGGACAGUCUUGUUGUCACAGGCACUUACAUUCUGGUGGGAAGAGGAGGAAGGAGGGAAACAAGGGAUGAUGAGAUAAGUUCUAUGGUAAAAACAAAACAUGGUAACUAGUUAAUGUUACCAGCCCUCUCUCCUACAAUUCUACAAACACUUAGCCAUGGGGACAGGAAAUUCAGUUCAGCUUCUUCCAAGCGUUCUGAUUCUUUACAUCCAGUGGUGCAGAUUUCAAUCAGUGUCAACUCCCACUGAGUUCCUGGUGAGGACGGUUAUUUUAAACCAGGGUGUUGACCCCAAACAUUUUCAAAAACACUUCCAAAGCCUGAAUUUGGGGUCUUGGAACAUUCUGUAGGCUUCCGACAUCUAAAGCAUUGAAGAGUCUCUUUCAGUCUAGAUUCAGAGUAGGGUCUCCCUAGAGGACCAGGAACGCUGUAAACGGGUAGCGGGCAGGUCCCUGCCAUCACCGGCAGUGAAGACUUGUGGCUGCCUGGUAGGUGAUUUUGGGGACAAGAAACAGUUGGCUUUUCUGGAGUUCAGGCUUGACUUGUCCUGCAUGGCUAUGCCUUCCAUUCUCCAGUGUCCCAGGACCACACUGUUCUAGAUCCAAUAUGCCUUCAAGCCAAGGCCUGUGGCCUUAGGAGCUGAUACCGCUUCUUUCUGGCCCAAGAGGUUUCCUAGGCAGAGACUGUUUUUGUUUUUGUUUUUUGCUUUUUUUGGUCUUUUUGCCUUUUUAGAGCCGCACUUGAGGCAUAUGGAGGUUCCCAGGCUAGGGGUCUAAUCGGAGCUGUAGCUGCCGGCCUACACCACAGCCACAGCAACGCGGGAUCCGAGCCGCAUCUGCAACCUACACCACAGCUCAGGGCAAUGCCGGAUCCUUCACCCACUGAGCGAGGCCACGGGUUGAACCCGCAACCUCAUAGUUCCUAGUCGGAUUCGUUAACCGCUGAGCCACAACGGAACCCUGGCAGAGACUGUUUUAUUCAUCUUCCUGUGCCCCAAGGGCACAAAGCAAAUCCUGUUGCAUAGUAGGCACUCCAUGUGUGACAUUUGUGAAAUAAGCGAAUCCCAGGUCCCUCUUUAAUCCCUAUGUGUCUGUCUUCCUCCCAUGGUCCCAAAUAGCCAGGCCAUCAUCCUCUCUCCAUUUGACAAGCCUCAUGGCCUUUCCAGCCACUGUGCCUUUGCUCAGUGCUCGCUCUCCUGCUCAGGGGCUGCCUGGGUAAUUGAAAGAAAUCCCUGGGCUUCCAGGAGAGCCAGGCCAGCUCUGGAACCCCAAAAGUGUGUGACUUAUGGCAGUCAGCUUCUAUAGGGAAAUCUCGCCUACGGUGGGUGGUCAGAUCCCGCCGGUACAUAGUAGGCACUCCACGUGUGUCAUUCUCCAGCUUUCCCGUCUUCCACCCAGUCUGCUUUUAAAAUAUCCUCUAGUUUCAUAACUAAAUAGCGUCCGUAAAGACUCCCAUGAUCCCUGUGACACAGACUGACCUUAGAACACGUCAUUUUUCUCUGGUUUGAGUGGGGUAGGAUCUUCCUGAUGCGGUGGUGAACAAUCCUAUGAAAUUUAACACUCCUUUUACGUAACACUUUGGGUUGACAUUAGGGCUUUUCUGAAUACCCUGAUCCUUCUCCUUCUGGGAAUGGUGUUGGAAGGCCAAGGUCCUCGAAGUCAGGCAGAGGCAUGUGACACGCACUGGCCAAUCAACUGUAGAAGUGAGCUGGGCCACUUGGCCACUGAAGCAUUAAGGAGCCAUGUAAGAGCCAUCACGUUCCUGUUCUUGCUGCUGGAGCAAAGAAUGGUGUGGCUAUGCAGUUUGCAUUGGAAAUAAACUUUGGCCUUUU